CAGGCAUGCUGGGGUUCCGCCAGCGGCGCCUGGCGGCGGCCCGCUUUCGCGGCCGCCCCGACACCGGACGGAACAAGG
Molecule: non-coding RNA, 78 nt
Organism: Rhizobiales bacterium 63-22
Lineage: Bacteria; Pseudomonadati; Pseudomonadota; Alphaproteobacteria; Hyphomicrobiales
Source: Rfam